UUUAAAGCACUUAAGGGCGUAUGGUGGAUGCCUUGGCUCUGAGAGACGAUGAAGGACGUGGUAAGCUGCGAUAAGCUACGGGGAGCUGCACACAAGCGUAAUAUCCGUAGAUUUCCGAAUGGGACAACCCGGCUGGCUGAAGGCCAGUCACUCCGCAAGGAGAGUCAACCCUGGGAACUGAAACAUCUAAGUACCAGGAGGAAAAGAAAACAAUAGUGAUUCCCCAAGUAGUGGCGAGCGAAAAGGGAAUAGCCCAAACUUCGGCAGCGUGCUGCCGGAGGGUUGUAGGACCACUUUUAGAAACCAAUUUCAAGCUGAAUCUUCUGGAAAGUUGAACCAUAGCAGGUGAUAGUCCUGUAAGCACAAAUAAUUGGGGACGUGUGGUAUCCUGAGUACGGCGGGACCGGAGGAAUCCUGCCUGAAUCUGCCAGCACCAUCUGGUAAGGCUAAAUACUCCUCAGAGACCGAUAGUGAACCAGUACCGUAAGGGAAAGGUGAAAAGCACCCCGAACAGGGGAGUGAAAUAGUACCUGAAACCGUACGCCUACAAGCGGUCGGAGUCCAGCAAUGGAUGACGGCGUGCCUUUUGCAUAAUGAGCCUACGAGUUGCUCCUCACUAGCGAGGUUAAGGUCUUAAGUACCGGAGCCGUAGCGAAAGCGAGUCCAAAUAGGGCGUUUAGUUAGUGGGGGCAGACGCGAAACUUUGUGAUCUAUCCAUGGGCAGGUUGAAGGUGUGGUAACACACACUGGAGGACCGAACUCAUUAACGUUGAAAAGUUAUGGGAUGACCUGUGGAUAGGGGUGAAAGGCCAAUCAAACUGAGAGAUAGCUCGUUCUCCCCGAAAUGUUUUUAGGAACAGCCUCGGAUAUAGAAGUUUACUAGAGGUAGAGCUACUGAUUGGGCUAGGGGGCUUCACCGCCUACCAAACCCUGACAAACUCCGAAUGCUAGUAAAUAUCUCCGGGAGUGAGGCUGCGGGUGCUAAGGUCCGUGGCCGAGAGGGAAAUAACCCAGAUUAGCAACUAAGGUCCCUAAUACGUAGUUAAGUUGAUCAAACGAGGUGGGAUUUCUAUAACAGCCAGGAUGUUGGCUUGGAAGCAGCCAUUCAUUUAAAGAGUGCGUAACAGCUCACUGGUCGAGAGACUCUGCACGGAAAAUAAUCGGGCAUCAAACUACGAACCGAAGUUCUAAGAUUGCCACUAGGUGGUAUAUCGGUAGGGGAGCAUUCCCAUCUGCUGCGAAGGUGUAUGGCGACGUAUGCUGGAGCGUUGGGAAAAGAAAAUGUAGGCAUGAGUAGCGAUAAAAGGAGUGAAAAACUCCUUCGCCGAAAGUCUAAGGUUUCCUGAUCAACGUUAAUCGGAUCAGGGUUAGUCGGGUCCUUAGGCAAACCCGAAAGGGGUAGCUGAUGGAAAACUGGUUAAUAUUCCAGUACCUGCUAUAGUUUCGAUGGGGUGACGCGGUAGUGAAAGACCCGGGUGGAUACGGAAUUCCACCUUAAAGCGUGUAGAUAUAUUUUCUGUAGGUAAAUCCGCAGAGAAUGUCGAACGUGAUAGUACCACAAAGCUUCGGCAGCGUGGAUAGUGGUCCUAAUCAUACCGCCGAGAAAAACCUCUAAGGCUAGGCUAUAGCGGCCCGUACCGCAAACCGACACAGGUAGACGAGAUGAAUAUUCUAAGGCGCUCGGGUGAGCCGCGGAGAAGGAACUAGGCAAAUUGACGCUGUAACUUCGGGAUAAAGCGUACCACCUUAUGGGUGGUCUCAGUAAAAUGGUUCAACCAACUGUUUAACAAAAACACAGGGCCCUGCAAAAUCGAAAGAUGACGUAUAGAGCCUGAUACCUGCCCGGUGCCGGAAGGUUAAGGAAGGAUGUUCGGAGCAAUCCAAAGCUUCUGACUGAAGCCCCGGUAAACGGCGGCCGUAACUAUAACGGUCCUAAGGUAGCGAAAUUCCUUGUCGGGUAAGUUCCGACCUGCACGAAUGGUCUAAUGAGUUGAACACUGUCUCCUCCGCGAGCCCGGUGAAAUUGUAGUAUCGGUGAAGAUGCCGGUUACCCGUCACGGGACGGAAAGACCCCGUGAACCUUCACUACAACUUUGCAUUGAUUUUGAGCAACCGAUGUGUAGAAUAGUUGGGACGCUUUGAAGCGGAGCCGCCAGGUUUCGUGGAGCGGUCGUUGAAAUACCAACCUUCGUUUGCUUAGAGUCUAAUCCCUUACGGGAAACAGUGCAUGGUGGGUAGUUUGACUGGGGUGGUCGCCUCCUAAAAAGUAACGGAGGCUUGCAAAGGUUCCCUCAGUACGGUUGGUAAUCGUACGAAGAGCGCAUCAGUAUAAGGGAGCUUGACUGUGAGACAUACAAGUCGAGCAGGGUCGAAAGACGGCUGAAGUGAUCCGGUGGUUCUGUAUGGAAGGGCCAUCGCUCAAAGGAUAAAAGGUACUCCGGGGAUAACAGGCUGAUCUCCCCCAAGAGCUCAUAUCGACGGGGAGGUUUGGCACCUCGAUGUCGGUUCGUCACAUCCUGGGGCUGGAGAAGGUCCCAAGGGUUCGGCUGUUCGCCGAUUAAAGUGGCACGUGAACUGGGUUCAGAACGUCGCAAGACAGUUCGGUCCCUAUCUGUGAUGGGCGUUAGAAUAUUGCGUGGACAUGACCUUAGUACGAGAGGACCGGGUCGUACGGACCGCUGGUGUAUCUGUUGUGCCGCCAGGUGCAAUGCAGAGUAGCUACGUCCGGCCAGGAUAAACGCUGAAAGCAUCUAAGCGUGAAACCUUCCACAAGAUGAGUAUUCUUUUAAGGGUCGUCAGAGACUAUGACGUUGAUAGGCUACAGGUGUAAAAUUGGUAACAGCAAAGCCGAGUAGUACUAAUUGCCCGUAAGCUUUUAUUU
This 2881-nucleotide ribosomal RNA is filed under the name Chitinophagaceae bacterium. RNAcentral describes it as "23S ribosomal RNA". It matches the Rfam family "Bacterial large subunit ribosomal RNA". The record is from RNAcentral. Lineage: Bacteria; Pseudomonadati; Bacteroidota; Chitinophagia; Chitinophagales; Chitinophagaceae.